RNAcentral lists this transfer RNA (72 nucleotides) under Bos taurus (domestic cattle). It matches the Rfam family "tRNA". Rfam says of the family: Transfer RNA (tRNA) molecules are approximately 80 nucleotides in length. Their secondary structure includes four short double-helical elements and three loops (D, anti-codon, and T loops). Lineage: Eukaryota; Metazoa; Chordata; Mammalia; Artiodactyla; Bovidae. RNAcentral also lists the same sequence under 4 other names. The record is from Rfam by way of RNAcentral.
UCCCUGGUGGCUCAGAUGGUAAAGAAUCUGCCUGAAAUGCAGGAGAUCCAGGUUUUAUCCCUGGGUCGGGAA